Ictidomys tridecemlineatus (thirteen-lined ground squirrel) is the source of this 1449-nucleotide non-coding RNA. NCBI's taxonomy places the organism in Eukaryota, Metazoa, Chordata, Mammalia, Rodentia, Sciuridae. The record is from RefSeq and is a predicted model, not a curated record.
UAGACAGGUGGGCGGGGAAGGAGGAGGGGCGCCGGCGGAGCCGAUCAAAUAGUCUUUCUACGGGUCGGCAGCCCGGCUUCUGCUGGGUCCUAACACCAAGAAGCAGGUGGAGUCUUGGCGCCCUCUAGCUGCUACGUAGCGUCAGCAACUCGAGCGGGCUCCUCCGGAGCGUUCAAGGCCUGGCUUAGAGGAGCAGGGCUCUUUACAAAGCGAAUCCUAAUAAUUCCAAGGCCUGAGAAGAAGAGUGAGGUGGGAGAAGAAGAGCAGAGUUCUGGCACAAAGUGGGAAGAGGUGGCAGGUGUGAUAGGCCACUGUGCCAGGGGAAGGCCUGUGGGCCCAGAGACUUCAGUGGCAAGGUGUUCCCACCAGAGAAGGCUUUAAAAGAACCCCUCUUUAUGGAGGAGUGGGAAUGGGCAGAAGAGGGAAUGUUUUUGGUGUGUGACUAGAGGAGUCCAAGCAACAAAGAACAUGAGUGCAACCAGCAUGACCCUGAGCAGCCAGAUACCCUCCCUGAGAAAUCUAAGCGAUCUCAGAGGAGACAGCAGCUAAGAAGAGGAAAAUGUCGCCAAAAAAACACUGUACACGAGAACUCCCCAAAGGAAAGAUGGUGAAAUGAAGAGACCUCAUGAGCUACAGAAUUUCAGACCCAGGAUGUCUUAGAAAACAACAGAUCAGUCACACUCUCUUACAGGGGUAAUGCAGAGGCAGAAAGCUAGAUGAGAUGACUUGAAGACUACUUCCAGCAUUAUAAGUCUGUGAAAGAAUCAGGACAUGCAAUAGCCUAAUUUCUACCAGGAUUUCCAGGAUGUGACUAUUAACCUAUAACAUGGAGUGAGGGAGGACACAAGAGCCUGAGAUCUGCUUAAGCUGUAAGUGCUGGCCUUUUGCUUCCACAACACCUUGUUCUUAAAGGACACCAGGCAACAGCAAUAGCAGGAACAAUCUCCUACCCUCAUGGGUUGUCUUCUCUAUUGUUUGAGAUACAAAUGGUGCCCUCAAUGCCCAGAACCCAGUCCUAGCUAAAGCUUCACUCACACACCAUGACUGAACUCCCUGACUGCCACUGAAACCACGACUUCCAAUGUGAAUCUGCCCUGAUGGAUAUGAAGCUGCAGGAGAAACCAGAGGCCCUCUAUGGGGCCUGCUAAGGGGUUCUGUGUGUACCUUUGGAAAGUGACCUCUUAAUCUUCUGCUAACAGGAGGAACUGUAAAGAAGUCCCAAAAGAAUGGCCUCUGAACUAUCCAGUCUGGUUUGGGAAUAUUCCACAGUCCUUACUUGCAAGGUCUGGAACUUUCUGUCUGCAAGUUCAUGAUACUUGAUCCAUUACAGCCACAGGGUAAAGAACUAUUAGUAUGUUCUCUCUCUCCCUCUCUCUGAUCAUGGUUUAGCAAAUUCUCACACUUUCCCUAGGGAUAAAAAAAUAAAAAUGGAAGAAACAAAGGGCUGAA